This 447-nucleotide ribosomal RNA is filed under the name uncultured bacterium. RNAcentral's name for it is "partial 16S ribosomal RNA". It matches the Rfam family "Bacterial small subunit ribosomal RNA", at positions 29 to 523 of the family's 1533-position model. The record is from RNAcentral.
AACGAACGCUGGCGGCAGGCUUAACACAUGCAAGUCGAACGCCCCGCAAGGGGAGUGGCAGACGGGUGAGUAACGCGUGGGAAUCUACCUAGUUCUACGGAACAACUGAGGGAAACUUCAGCUAAUACCGUAUACGCCCUACGGGGGAAAGAUUUAUCGGAAUUAGAUGAGCCCGCGUAAGAUUAGCUAGUUGGUGAGGUAAUGGCUCACCAAGGCGACGAUCUUUAGCUGGUCUGAGAGGAUGAUCAGCCACACUGGGACUGAGACACGGCCCAGACUCCUACGGGAGGCAGCAGUGGGGAAUAUUGGACAAUGGGCGCAAGCCUGAUCCAGCCAUGCCGCGUGAGUGAUGAAGGCCUUAGGGUUGUAAAGCUCUUUCAGUGGGGGAGAUAAUGACGGUACCCACAGAAGAAGCCCCGGCUAACUUCGUGCCAGCAGCCGCGGUAA